GCAGUCGCGCGACAGCUCAUUUCGGUGAGUGGAGGAGCGGCGAAAGGGAGAGUAACGCGUGGAUACCUACCUUGGGGUCCAGGAUAAGGGCCGAAAGCCCGGUAAUACUGGAUGACCUCUACGGAGCAAAGCUCAGGCGCCCUGAGACGGGUCCGCGUCCUAUUAGCUAGUUGGUGGGGUAACGGCCUACCAAGGCAGCGAUGGGUACCGGGUGUGAGAGCAUGGCCCGGCUCACUGGGACUGAGACACUGCCCAGACACCUACGGGUGGCUGCAGUCGAGAAUCUUUGUCAAUGGCCGAAAGGCUGAACAAGCGACGCCGCGUGCGGGAUGAAGGCCUUCGGGUUGUAAACCGCUGUUGUAGGGGAGGAAAUUUUGACCGAUCCUAUGAGGAAGGGCAGGCUAAGUUCGUGCCAGCAGCCGCGGUAAGACGAACUGCCCAAACGUUAUUCGGUAUCACUGGGCUUAAAGGGUGCGUAGGCGGCGUAGUAAGUGAGAUGUGAAAUCCCACGGCUCAACCGUGGAACUGCGUUUCAUACUGCUAUGCUUGAGGGAGAUAGAGGUGAGCGGAACAGAUGGUGGAGCGGUGAAAUGCGUUGAUAUCAUCUGGAACACCUGUGGCGAAAGCGGCUCACUGGAUCUCUUCUGACGCUGAGGCACGAAAGCUAGGGUAGCGAACGGGAUUAGAUACCCUGGUA
This 697-nucleotide ribosomal RNA is filed under the name uncultured bacterium. RNAcentral describes it as "bacterial SSU rRNA". It matches the Rfam family "Bacterial small subunit ribosomal RNA", at positions 57 to 792 of the family's 1533-position model. The record is from RNAcentral.